Molecule: long non-coding RNA, 6135 nt
Filed under: Medicago truncatula (barrel medic)
Lineage: Eukaryota; Viridiplantae; Streptophyta; Magnoliopsida; Fabales; Fabaceae
Description: long non-coding RNA (MTRU_LNC001050)
Source: RNAcentral
UAUAAUGGUUCUCAAUAUACUCCAAUUUCUGACCCGGCUAUGAUACCCCAAUCUCAGGCAGGAUGGGGAACAACUCUACCAACAGUUGCUCAAUCUAUGCCAUUGCAGAUGCACAAUAACAUUUACAUGCCAGCUGGAAACAUGCCACCUGGAAAUGGGCCAAUGCAAAUGCAACCUGGAAAUGGGCCAAUGCAAAUGCCACCUGGAAACAUGCCACCUGGGAGCAUUCCACUACAAAGGCCACUACAAAUGCCACCUGGAAAUGUGCCAAUGCAAAUGCCACCUGGGAGCAUGCCACUACAAAGGCCAAUGCAAAUGCCACCUGGAAACAUGCCACCAGGAAUGCAUUUCCCAAAUCAUGACAUGCUACAACCGACAUCCACAUUGCCCGCAUAUGGAUCUGAUCGUACUCAAUAGCGUGCUUCUGUGUCUCAAUAGAUCUACAUUUACCAAGAGUCAGCUAGCCUCUGCAGAAGUGAUUCGAAUUAGAGUUCCCAUCUGGUGAAACUGGCUGUCAUUUGAUUAUGUUUUGAACCUCAAAUAGGAUACUUCUCAUUUUUUCGUUUUUUAUAUGCGUAUUUUGAAUGGGAACCGGCAUGCAAUUGGCCAUCAACUUUUAGUUGGCUUACUUCCAAACAAAAUGUUCUGUUCGGGUCUUUUUUGGGUUAGGUCUGGAUACAAUUAGUUUGUCUGGGAAAUGGUAUUGAAAAAUAAUUCUGAUAAGUAGUAUCUUAUGAUAUUGCUUGCUCUUUAGCUUUGGAUAGUGAGUUCGUGACUGCAGUUGUUUUUUACUAUUAUUUUUUCAUUAAAAACAAAUAACAUGAAAAAUGGAUGGCAGAAUAUAAGCUUUAUUUAACUUUCUAACAUGGAAACUUAAUGGCAUGUUUGGUUGCCAGUUUUUUAUCACAUGCAACCUCAUUUGAAAUAUAAAUGUGAUUCGGAAUAAUUGUCGAUGCAUAUGUUUUUUUUUUUUUUUUUGACAAAGUUGUCGAUGCAUAUGUUAAAAAUUAUGCUUUUGAUAUCCGGUCACCACAAUAUUUGUUAUUUUAUUUAAAUAAUGGUUUAAUAAAUACUUGAUUAUCUUUGCUAGUAUUCUAUUUCCCAGUUCCCCAGAUUACUAUAUUAAACUAAACUAAUUUGUCUUUCAAAAAAUCUCUUGUGACUCUUGCUCUCCUUUCUCAUUCCUUGCCAUUGUCAGAACAAUAUUUAAACACCUAGCCAAUCUAGGUUGGUCCGGUUGAUACAAAGUUGACUCAUCCCAUAAGAACGUGGAGUUCAUCUUUACUCCAUUUAGGUUUGCUCAAUUUACCCCAUUUAUCAUCAUGGAUGUGUGACAUGUGGCAAAAUAGAAAAUCAAGGGCUGGGAUUAAAAAGGUUGGAAAAAGCACACGCGCGUUUGUUGUCUGCUGGUGCAUGCUCCUUCUUUAUCAUCUCAAGCUUGGAAUUCACCAAGGGAUCCUUAUAAGCAAAGGAUUUUCUUUCUCACCUAGAUUGGCUAAACAAUUUUCGAGGCACUUUUAAUGCUAGUAUCAUAAUCUCUUUCUGUAAUGGGUUUCUUCUUCUUGGUGGGUUGUGCACUAUAAUCGGGCCUUGUUCUAGGUUUCCUUUCGAUAGAAUGAUGAUACUUGGCAACUGCAACAGACUCUUUCACGGCAAUCCUUAUUUAACAGAAAAAUAUGUUGGUCCUGAAGAGAGAAAAGUACCAAAAAGGGAGAAACAUCCCUAAAUAAAAUCCUACAGAAUCGAUUUCAAUCCAUGUUGCAUGUAUCGGAAAAAGAAAAGGAAGGGGGUGGCACCGCUUCUGUAUGAACAGAAAGGGCUGCGACGGUGCCGGCGCCGGCGAGUGGGAGAGAGAAGCACAGAAGUGAUGUGGGGAGAGGAAGAAGAAGGGUCGUGAGUGGAGUUGGAACAAAAGCGCGUACCCUUGUUUUUUAUAAAACAAAUGCAUUUUCCAACCCUUUUAAUCCAGCCCUUGGUUUUCUGAUUUGCCACAUGUCACACAUCCAUGAUGGUAAAUUGGGUAAAUGGAGCAAACCCAAAUGGAGCAAAGAUGGACUCAAGAACGUGGGUUCAACUCAUGUUGUUAGCUUUAGAAUUUCGUUGGUGGACAAUCUCUGAAUACCUUUGUAACCACUAUGAGCCUUAAGGUAUCGGGUAUGUCAUGCUCCUAGUGAACUCUCAUAACUUAACUCACUUAAAAUAAAAACCAUGAAAUACACAAUAUUUGAUGUUUAAGUUUAAAAUAAUUGAAAAGUAACGUAACAAAUGACAUUAUGGUAUCACUUCAUUGGAUAGAUAUGCAAGUGUUUUAUAUUGCCCAUACAUAAUUCAUCUAAUAAACAACUGUAUAUUUCUACGUAUUUUUUGAAUAAGAAUAAAUAACAACGAACAGCCAUUAUCUUUCACAGAUAAUCAUAUCCAAAAUCAUUAACGUGGCGGCACCAAUGUCAAACCAUUUGAUAAGGUUAAAUCUCGUGGGGAUGAGGAAUAGAACCCUAGCAUUAAUUAUCCUCUUCCUUUUCCUUAUCACCCCUCUACUCUUUUUUCAUCUAUUUUUUACGACAAUUGUUCCUUUCACCUCGAGAUACACCUUUUAAAAAAAAAAAUAUUAUGCGUAUCAUUUAAGUUUCUUUUUAACGGCCUACAAAAAAAGUUUUCUUUACGGAAUCAUUUGUGUUACAUCCAAUUAUCAUCAUCAUUCACAUUAAUUAAGUGACCUUUGAUCAUAAAUAAUUUUUUAAUAUGUUACCAGGUCUAAAUUAAUGUCAUAAUGGCCACACACACAAAAACAAACAAAAUCUCUUCAUAUUUUCUGAUUUUUCACUCUUUACACAUUUCUAUAGUUUCUUUCAUAUAAAUAUGAUUGCUGAAUUCGAUAAAGUUAUAAUAAUGCUGCUAGAUAAUGAAACAAAGAAGUCUGAGAUCUGUUUAUAUAUAAGUAUCCUCAGCUAAAUGAUGGAAUUUUACUGCAACUAAUCAAAACAAUUUUACAGACCAACUUUCACCAGCACCUAUAUACAGAAAGAACAUGACAUGAAGAUCACACUGAAGCAAAUGCUCCUUCUUCACCUUUUACUGUACUGGAUUCAGACACCUGUCUAAAAUAUUCUGUUCUUUAACACUACCAAAGAGAGAAACCAGCAUAUAUAACAGAGAAAUUAAUAAAGCAGACCAAAUAAGCAAAUGCUACAAGUCUAUAACAUAUGAAACAGACACUAUUUCCACUUGCCAGUCCGUCUCCUAAGCCUCCAAGAUCGGAAAGCCCCUGAAGCUUCAUCCGUGGCAGAAAGUUUUCAGCCACUUAUCAACAACUCAUGCAUCCGAUCAAGUGGUUCAGUGAGGUCCUGCACAGCAUGUCCUUCUGAGACAUCUGAAAGUGAUUUGAGAUUGCACUUAAUUAAGGCUUCAACGAAGUAGCAGGUCUCAUCCUUGGUAUUCCCCUCUGGUACAUCUACCACAAAAGAUUCAAUUACCAGGGUUCCUGGUCUUCCAUCAAUAAUUUCUGGAUGGAGGGACAUGAUAGAUGAGUAGUUCUGAAAAACAAAAGAUCGUUUUUGUUGUUAAUUAAGCGAGGUGGAGGAGGAGGUAAACUGUAGCAUGCAACAGAAAGAAAUAAAAAUAUAUGACAUUUCCAAAUUAAGUGCAAGCCUUGACGAAAACAAUCUAAGGCAAUAUUGAGUCUAGGAAAAUGACCCUUCCAUGUUUUACUUGAUUUAUAUUCCAUAAUCAGAGGUGGAUAUACUCUUUCACAUAGCAUGGGAAUGAAAGGUAUAUUAGAAAUAUUAAUUUCCAAUUCUUUCUCGCAUCAUUUGAAUUUUGAACGUAUUCCCAAAAUAUUAAAUGCGGACCAAACAUGUUUUCAAAUUUACCUCAAAGUAACAUUCCCGGACAGUGCUCUUGGGAAUAAAAUUAUACACCUUGAAAGGAACAUCUCCAAAGUGAAGAGAGAUUAUUGACUCAGGGGAAUCUUGGUUGUAUUUGUAUUAAACCAUUCUUGUGGCUUAAGCACUUAGGUUUUUUUUUUUUUUUUGAUAAAUAAGCACUUAGGCUUUUGGGAUAAAGCAAUUCUAGUGACAUCAUAAUAUAGGAACAUCAGUUUCAAAGUUAGCAAACUAUGACAGUUAAUUAGUGGCCUAAGAAUUCAUGGAAUCUUAAACAUGUCCUUGGUUUGACAAUUGGUUGAAUUCCUAGACAAUGAAAGUUUUAGCUACACACAGGGAACAAUGUAAACCAGAAGAACCAAACAUCAAGGAUCUUGUUGACAAAUGACAACUACAUUAACUUUACGCCAGCAGAAGAAGCGGCACUUUAACAGAUAUUUUUCCUUUGUAAAACGAUGCACAUGACUCAAAAUAGAAUCAAAUUUAUACCAUUCUGAGCAAUAUAUGAUAAGAAACAGUGUUAGGAAUAUCUGUUACCAUAUAACUAGUGGGACCAUUAAAAAAAAAGCAUAUAACUUGAGGGACAGAACCUAAGUGUAGCAGUGAGCUGGUUAGUUAGUUUUACAUGGACUAGACCAGGCUUUUAAAUUUCCGGGAAUUGGGAAUUCUUGUAAACAUUCAGUCUCUAUUAACUUGAAUUAUCUCGUUGAGAGAUAAGCUAUUUAAUAAUGAUCUCUUCAUUCAUCUAUUUCCUUCCUAUUUUGACCAUGUACCUAUAAACUAAUAUCAGAGCUCAGAUCUUUGAGCUAUGGAUAUUGCAUCUUAAAGCAAAUCUAGAAGCUACUUAUCAGUUGAGCAAGAAUGGAGAAGCAAAUUCUUGAAGAGAUGCAGUGAAAGUUUGCAGGUUUCAAGUUUAAAUUAUGAUAGAAAACAUUAAAAAAGUAGAUAUCAUAUGCAUCGGAAACAAGUACCAGGCUUACCAUCAUAAAGACAAAAGGAUAACAAAAAUUCCUUCCACCCCAAAUAUACUAAAUGACGUGUAUAAUAUUAUACUACUGGCUAGAGCUUAUACUACUUGGAAUAAUGCAACAAAUAUAAUAACUGUUCAAAAUAAUGAAGUCUACUAUUCAACAUCUUGUUAGUUGUUACAACAGCACACAUGAUUGCACUCAGUCAAUUAUAUGAAUGAAACACAAUGUACACACUCAACAACGAACUAAUAGACCUCCCUCACGGUAUCAACAUCCCAGAUAUGGAUUAGAGAUUUUUAAAGCUCCCAACAGAGAUUAAUUAUGUAUAUUCUGUUUCUACCGAUGCAAUGUGUGUCUUACACACACAAACAUAUAUAAUUAGUUCAUCAUAAUGAGUGGUUGAGGAAAUGUUUUAUUGUUUCAACAAAAGAAUAAAGAAGGUAAAUUAUGGUAAGGAAGUAAUCAUACCCUAAGCCUAUGAUCACCACCAAUAAUCCUGAUGCUUAGAAUAUGCUCAUUGUCAUCAAGGACCUCCAAUCUUUCAGUACUAGUUGUAGCCGGAAGCCCUGACUUAACAUCAACUUCUCUUAAACUCCCAAUCUCAAGGUUUCCCCUCACCACACACCUGCUCACGAAUGGUUUAUAUUUCUGCGGCUGAUCAAACCUCCUCACCAAAGACCAUACCUAGAGAAAGAAAGAAAAAAAUAAACGCAAUAAAUAAACAAUUCCAUUGAGAAACAUAGUAGAAUCAUUCAAUUCAAUUAACAUAGUUUCUAAAUUCUGCAUUACACAUUGCCACAGCCAAACUCUUCACAUCAUAAUAUCGAUUGCAGAUACAAAUAACUAGAUCAUCAUCAUAUUCAAGUAUGAAGCACGACACAUACACUGACACAGACACCACUGGUAAAAAUUUGGAAAAAUGAAUUAAUUGAAUGUAAUUCACAUGUGUCGGCGUAAGACACCAACACACCAACACGUGUCAGAUACCAGACACACGAUCACUUGUCAAUUCAAACUAAAUUAGCAAUUUUCCAGUGAUAAACAUAGGAGAAUCAUUUAAUUCAAUCAACAUAGUUUCUAUAUUGUGCAUUCCAGUGAAAAAUGAAUUAAUUGAAUGUAAUUACAUCGUGUCAGAGAGUGUAAGUGUCUGACACCGACAAAUCAGACACGCCUUUCAUCAGAAGUAUGUAUCGGUGUUCCAGAGAUUCAACUAUCAACAAUUCAUAGACCAAAAAGCUAAAAAAAAAAAAAAAAAAAAAAAAACAGAAAUAACCAAAUAAAAA